This is a long non-coding RNA of Empidonax traillii (willow flycatcher), 746 nucleotides long. RefSeq lists it as uncharacterized. The record is from RefSeq and is a predicted model, not a curated record. Lineage: Eukaryota; Metazoa; Chordata; Aves; Passeriformes; Tyrannidae. The transcript has 3 exons.
GGGGUUUUCUUCUCUUGUCCCCCAGCUGAUGAUGAAAGCAUCCAAGUGGGUGUCCACCGACAGUUCCUAACACGCUCCUCAUGCAAGUUAAACAUGGUCCCUGGCAAAAAGUACCUCCUCAUGGGGAAAGAUGGGGAAACAGUCGAUUGCAACAACAAGAUGCAGUACUUCCUUGAUGCACAAGCCUGGGUAGAGAAAAUUCCAAGCACCAGUGAGUGCCGCAGCACCCUGCGUCGGCAAAGCUGUGCUCACUUGCAGGACUUCCUGAACACGUCUGACAGCCUGUGCCUCCUCUGAUCCCCACAUCCUAUCUGUGUGACUGCGGCUUGCCUCCUUCCCGAAUUUUUUUUGCAAAGAAUGUUCACCCAAGUGGCACCUGAAACAUUGCAGGGCUGCUUCCAUUGCUGUUUUGCUCUCUGGGGUAUUCCUUGUAGAUUUGUGUGUGGGAGUAAUAUAACAAAAAAUGCAGUUACUCUGCUAGUUAUUGUGUUUAUUGUACCUGACACUGGCAAAGAGAGAGUAGGAAUUUCUGUCUUCCUGAUCCAUUAUAUAACAGCGCAAUUAUCCAGUGGAGGGUCAAAUGAAAAAAACAUUUUGCUUGCAGAGCUGAUUAAUUCCUGCCUCCCAGGGAAAAGAGGUCGAGAAAUUUCCAUGGGUCAGAAAGAUGACUGGACAUACCAGGGCUUACCAAAAAAGCUGUAUAUGUAUACUUUGUAUCACUUUUGUGGCUUCCACAAAUAUCAAAC